CCACUUGAAGAUGAUGAGCUGGUUGAGUACAUCCUCACCGGCCUUGAUGAAGAAUAUGACCCGGUCGUGUCCUCCGUGAUUGGCCGGUCAGAUGCAAUCUCAGUUAGCGAGCUAUAUUCUCAGAUGCUUGCAUUUGAGA
Molecule: small nucleolar RNA, 139 nt
Filed under: Ananas comosus (pineapple)
Lineage: Eukaryota; Viridiplantae; Streptophyta; Magnoliopsida; Poales; Bromeliaceae
Description: Small nucleolar RNA Z247
Rfam family: Small nucleolar RNA Z247
About the family: Z247 is a member of the C/D class of snoRNA which contain the C (UGAUGA) and D (CUGA) box motifs.
Source: Rfam by way of RNAcentral